AAUUGCAGUGGCUCUCCUUGUAACUCCCUGCUGUUUGACUGAAAGUGUUGCUGAGAAAUAUGUAGGACAAUGUAACUCUACAGGUGAACUUCCAGCCCCACAUUUUUUUAUGAAUGGAACUUCAGUGCAAGUGGGAGAGUGGGUCCUCUUGCAAUGCUGGCUUAGUAAUGAAUUUGAGGUGAAAAACUUUUAUUUCUGUAAAGAUGGGCAUCCCCUUUCAACUCCCACUGCCUUCUUAUAUGAUGGCAUUUACAAGGUGUCACUCCAGAUCUCACAGCAAAGUGCAGGCCACUAUAGCUGUGGGUAUCAAAGAAUGGACAGGGAGAGCCAGAUGAAGAAGUUUGCCCACAGCGCUGUUCAGAAUCUGAUUGUCUUAUCAG
Candoia aspera is the source of this 380-nucleotide long non-coding RNA. RefSeq lists it as uncharacterized. The record is from RefSeq and is a predicted model, not a curated record. The transcript is spliced from 2 exons. Lineage: Eukaryota; Metazoa; Chordata; Lepidosauria; Squamata; Candoiidae.